GGACGAACGCUGGCGGCGUGCCUAAUACAUGCAAGUCGAACGGUCUUUCUAUGGAAGCUUGCUUCCACUGAGAAGAUAGUGGCGAACGGGUGAGUAACACGUGGGUAACCUGCCCAUAAGAGGGGGGAUAACAUCCGGAAACGGGUGCUAAUACCGCAUAGUUUUCUUGAUCGCAUGAUCGGGAAGGGAAAGACGGCCUUUGUGCUGUCGCUUAUGGAUGGACCCGCGGCGUAUUAGUUAGUUGGUGAGGUAACGGCUCACCAAGACGAUGAUACGUAGCCGACCUGAGAGGGUGAUCGGCCACAUUGGGACUGAGACACGCCCAAACUCCUACGGGAGGCAGCAGUAGGGAAUCUUCCGCAAUGGACGAAAGUCUGACGGAGCAACGCCGCGUGAGUGAAGAAAGGUUUUCGGAUCGUAAAACUCUGUUGUCAGAGAAGAACAAGUUGGAGAGUAACUGCUCCAGCCUUGACGGUAUCUGACCAGAAAGCCACGGCUAACUACGUGCCAGCAGCGGC
Molecule: ribosomal RNA, 518 nt
Filed under: uncultured bacterium
Lineage: Bacteria
Description: bacterial SSU rRNA
Rfam family: Bacterial small subunit ribosomal RNA
Source: RNAcentral